UAAGUACCCCGAGGAAAAGAAAUCAACCGAGAUUCCCCCAGUAGCGGCGAGCGAACGGGGAGCAGCCCAGAGCCUGAAUCAGUGUGUGUGUUAGUGGAAGCGUCUGGAAAGACGCGCGAUACAGGGUGACAGCCCCGUACACAAAAAUGCACAUGCUGUGAGCUCGAUGAGUAGGGCGGGACACGUGGUAUCCUGUCUGAAUAUGGGGGGACCAUCCUCCAAG
Molecule: ribosomal RNA, 223 nt
Filed under: Escherichia coli
Lineage: Bacteria; Pseudomonadati; Pseudomonadota; Gammaproteobacteria; Enterobacterales; Enterobacteriaceae
Description: partial 23S ribosomal RNA
Rfam family: Bacterial large subunit ribosomal RNA
Source: RNAcentral